GGCUUCGAGGUGUAGUGGUCAGCACGCUGGGCGCGUAUUCCAGAGGUCCGUGGUUCGAGUCCCGGCGAAGGCG
RNAcentral lists this transfer RNA (73 nucleotides) under Stegodyphus mimosarum. It matches the Rfam family "tRNA". From Rfam's summary of the family: Transfer RNA (tRNA) molecules are approximately 80 nucleotides in length. Their secondary structure includes four short double-helical elements and three loops (D, anti-codon, and T loops). Lineage: Eukaryota; Metazoa; Arthropoda; Arachnida; Araneae; Eresidae. The record is from Rfam by way of RNAcentral.